This 46-nucleotide non-coding RNA is filed under the name Schistosoma mattheei. Lineage: Eukaryota; Metazoa; Platyhelminthes; Trematoda; Strigeidida; Schistosomatidae. The record is from RNAcentral.
GUACUUCUGAGGAGUCCCACAAUAGAACAAAACGGCCGUCCAAUAC